Molecule: transfer RNA, 73 nt
Filed under: Bacteriophage sp.
Description: tRNA-Met
Rfam family: tRNA
About the family: Transfer RNA (tRNA) molecules are approximately 80 nucleotides in length. Their secondary structure includes four short double-helical elements and three loops (D, anti-codon, and T loops).
Source: RNAcentral
GUCGGAGUAUUAGCAAUGGUAGCUGGUCAGUCUCAUAAGCUGAAGGUUGAAGGUUCGAGUCCUUCCUCCGCCA